AGAGUUUGAUCAUGGCUCAGAACGAACGCUGGCGGCGUGCUUAACACAUGCAAGUCGAGUGCGCGUGCCGUAGCAAUACGGUAUGGCGCACGGCGCACGGGUGCGUAACACGUGGGCAAUCUGCCCUCCGAUGGGGAAUAACUCCGGGAAACCGAAGCUAAUUCCGCAUAACAUUCCCUGGACUCCGGUUCGGGGACUCAAAGCAGCAAUGCGUCGGAGGAGGAGCCCGCGCCCGAUUAGCUAGUUGGUGAGGUAACGGCUCACCAAGGCUAUGAUCGGUAGCUGGUCUGAGAGGAUGGCCAGCCACACUGGAACUGAGACACGGUCCAGACUCCUACGGGAGGCAGCAGUGGGGAAUCUUGCGCAAUGGGCGAAAGCCUGACGCAGCGACGCCGCGUGGGGGAUGAAGCUUCUCGGAGUGUAAACCCCUUUCGACCGGGACGAAUGCCCGCAAGGGAGUGACGGUACCGGUAGAAGAAGCCCCGGCUAACUACGUGCCAGCAGCCGCGGUAAGACGUAGGGGGCCAGCGUUGUUCGGAAUUACUGGGUGUAAAGGGUUCGUAGGCGGUGUGGCAAGUCGGGAGUGAAAUUUCUGGGCUUAACUCAGAACCUGCUUCCGAAACUGCUGUGCUCGAGUGUGGGAGAGGCGCGUGGAAUUGCAGGUGUAGCGGUGAAAUGCGUAGAUAUCUGCAGGAACACCCGUGGCGAAAGCGGCGCGCUGGACCACUACUGACGCUGAGGAACGAAAGCUAGGGGAGCAAACAGGAUUAGAUACCCUAGUAGUCC
This 786-nucleotide ribosomal RNA is filed under the name uncultured bacterium. RNAcentral describes it as "bacterial SSU rRNA". It matches the Rfam family "Bacterial small subunit ribosomal RNA", at positions 8 to 796 of the family's 1533-position model. The record is from RNAcentral.